GACGAACGCUGGCGGCGUGCUUAACACAUGCAAGUCGAACGGAAAGGCCCUGCUUUUGUGGGGUGCUCGAGUGGCGAACGGGUGAGUAACACGUGAGUAACCUGCCCUUGACUUUGGGAUAACUUCAGGAAACUGGGGCUAAUACCGGAUAGGAUCUCCUGCUGCACGGUGGGGGUUGGAAAGUUUCGGCGGUGGGGGAUGGACUCGCGGCUUAUCAGCUUGUUGGUGGGGUAGUGGCUUACCAAGGCUUUGACGGGUAGCCGGCCUGAGAGGGUGACCGGCCACAUUGGGACUGAGAUACGGACCAGACUCCUACGGGAGGCAGCAGUGGGGAGUAUUGCACAGUGGGCGGAAGCCUGAUGCAGCAACGCCGCGUGCGGGAUAACGGCCUUCGAGUUGUAAACCGCUUUCGCCUGUGACGAAGAGUGAGUGACGGUAAUGGGUAAAGAAGCACCGGCUAACUACGUG
RNAcentral lists this ribosomal RNA (468 nucleotides) under uncultured bacterium. RNAcentral's name for it is "partial 16S ribosomal RNA". It matches the Rfam family "Bacterial small subunit ribosomal RNA", at positions 28 to 507 of the family's 1533-position model. The record is from RNAcentral.